RNAcentral lists this ribosomal RNA (486 nucleotides) under uncultured bacterium. RNAcentral describes it as "bacterial SSU rRNA". It matches the Rfam family "Bacterial small subunit ribosomal RNA", at positions 28 to 507 of the family's 1533-position model. The record is from RNAcentral.
GAUGAACGCUAGCGGGAGGCUUAACACAUGCAAGUCGAGGGGCAGCACGAGGUAGCAAUACUUUGGUGGCGACCGGCGCACGGGUGAGUAACGCGUAUGCAACCUACCCUGUACAGGGGGAUAGCCCGGAGAAAUUCGGAUUAAUACCCCAUAAAGAUAUCUGGAGGCAUCUUUAGAUAUUUAAAGUUUCGGCGGUACGGGAUGGGCAUGCGUAACAUUAGCUAGUUGGUAGGGUAACGGCCUACCAAGGCAACGAUGUUUAGGGGUCCUGAGAGGGUGAUCCCCCACACUGGUACUGAGACACGGACCAGACUCCUACGGGAGGCAGCAGUGAGGAAUAUUGGUCAAUGGACGGAAGUCUGAACCAGCCAUCCCGCGUGCAGGAAGAAGGCGCUAUGCGUUGUAAACUGCUUUUCCAGGGGAAGAAAACCUGCUACGUGUAGUGGUUUGCCGGUACCCUGGGAAUAAGCAUCGGCUAACUCCGUG